This 332-nucleotide unclassified non-coding RNA is filed under the name soil metagenome. RNAcentral's name for it is "partial contains 5.8S ribosomal RNA, internal transcribed spacer 2, and large subunit ribosomal RNA". The stretch from base 1 to 120 matches the Rfam family "5.8S ribosomal RNA", at positions 35 to 154 of the family's 154-position model. The record is from RNAcentral.
GAUGAAGAACGUAGUAAAAUGCGAUAAGUAAUGUGAAUUGCAGAAUUCAGUGAAUCAUCGAAUCUUUGAACGCACAUUGCGCCCGCCAGUAUUCUGGUGGGCAUGCCUGUUCGAGCGUCAUUUCAACCCUCAAGCACAGCUUGGUGUUGGGACUCGCGUUAAUUCGCGUUCCUCAAAUUGAUUGGCGGUCACGUCGAGCUUCCAUAGCGUAGUAGUAAAACCCUCGUUACUGGUAAUCGUCGCGGCCACGCCGUUAAACCCCAACUUCUGAAUGUUGACCUCGGAUCAGGUAGGAAUACCCGCUGAACUUAAGCAUAUCAAUAAGCGGAGGA